This 1388-nucleotide long non-coding RNA is filed under the name Chloebia gouldiae (Gouldian finch). RNAcentral describes it as "Erythrura gouldiae (Gouldian finch) lncRNA (ENSEGOG00005000240.1)". Lineage: Eukaryota; Metazoa; Chordata; Aves; Passeriformes; Passeridae. The record is from RNAcentral.
CCUCUCUCUCUCUCUCUCUCUCUCUUGUUUUUACAAUCUAUGUGUAAUGACUAAUUGGCUGUGUUUUCCCAGCUAUUUUAUGUUUCUCUUGCCCUGGUUACAACGCGUACUAAAGCAGUAUAUCCACAGGGACCUAUAGACAGCCAACACUGCCAAAUGAUACGCAGCAUUCGCCUUUCUCUCUAAGUGUAAAACAUUUACAAGUAAAUUUACAAAUGCAUUAAGAACAUUUCCUCAGUUGACUGUUAGUGUUUAUUUCUUCCCUUUCUCCUCGCGGGAGCAGACACCUUCCAGCCCCUCAACUUUCACACACUGCUCUCCCGUUAUUUGCCUCCUUCCCUCCCUGUCGCCCCUUUCCCUCCUCUCCCUCCUCCUCCUCCUCCUCCUCCUCCUCCUCCUCCUCCUUUUCCAGUUCAGCGGCGCAAAUUUCUGUUUGUGCCAGUGGGGCGGCCUGGCGAGACCGCAAUUGCUCUACCCCACAGAUUGACGAGCCCUCAGAUGCCGAUUUACUGUACAUGGCAGCCACGCUGGAGCCGCGGCACAUCUGGAGUGGAGAUGUUCCAGGAUGAUCCCAGUAGGAAAGGGCCAAAAUUCCCCAUGAAACAUCUUGCCCAGGUCUCAGCCUUCUCACCAGGGGAAGCAGUGAGCAUUACCUCCUUAUGGCUGCUUAGAAACCACUCGAGGUGAAACUCUUUAAGGAGGGGACUCUGCAUGGGAGAGGUGUUGGUCAGCAUGGAAAGACUGAAUUGCAUGUCUCCAAGGUCCAGAAUGACCUUUCUGUGCCUGAAGUCAGGAGCAACAUCAUGGAUCCAGGGAGAAAUGCAGGGAUGGCACACCAUUUUGCAUAAUCUAGGUGACUACUGAGAUGGAUAAAAUGGUUUCUUUGCAGUGAAAUGAUUUAUUUGGAAAAAACUCCACAUGUCUACAUGGAAAGGCUGAUGGAACCAGUCUCAAAAGCAAAGCUGUUUGGCAAACUUCAAGAGAGAUCUUGGCAGAUGACUGAAAUCUAAAGCUUUAAGGGACAGUUGGAUUUUAGCUGAGUUCUUCUGUAAGCCUGCAGGGCUCUGGCUGGCAGACCAUUGCUCAACCUUUUGACUGUCAGGGUGGAGGAUUGAUGGCCUAUCAUUGCAAGAUGGCCCACCAAGUAGUCUACCUUUGAACUAAAGACCUCAGGCCUUCCAGGUUUCAAAACUGGGACACUUGUUUUGAAACUUUUUUGAUGUGUUUUGGUAUUUAUUGGAAAUAUUUUUCUGAAUUACCAAAUCCUGACCCCAAAAAGUGUUCCAUAGGAGUUUUUUUAACAGCUCUAUUCUAGUCUAAGUUUAAUGACCUUGAGGGAAAAAAAAGUUUCUCCAUAAAGGAGAAAUAAAACAGAAUCCAGUGAAUCA